CGCAGCGGCACUGCCGGAGGACGAGCGGAGCGAGCCGCGCUGCGUGCUGCUGUCCUCUCCAGACUGAGGCUGCCAGGAAGGAACCGCGGACCAUACAAGGAUGGCAGCCCGCCUGCCUCACGCACCGCCCGCACAGUCAUUUUAAGAGAUGAAGGGACAGUCCUGACACCAUCCCCUGUGACUGUUUUCUCCAGCUGCAGCUCACCAGCUCCACCUCCCUCAGCUCAGCAGGGGCCUGGGCUCCUCCACCUCCACUGCCCACCUCAGUGGAACCAUCUGCAAGCACCUGAAAUCUUCAUCACCUAACUGGAAAUAUGCUAUGUGCCAUACUCCUUCAAAACCUCCACCAUCACACCACUCCCCCCAGAAAAACUCAGGCCCACAGGACUAAGUAACAACAGCUCUAUUGUCUUGACCUCUGUGUUAUGAAGUUGUUUGAGCCCCUUGUUGAACAUGAGAACCACUGAGUUGUAGGACUCUGGGGGGUCUGCCAGAGCACUGCUUAAUUCCAAGAGGGACUUUCAGGAGUAUAAACACAGGCAUACAUUACACACAGGAAAAUUAUUAGGUCAUAGAUAAUAAAAGGAAAGAUUUUUCAACUAGAUUCUAUUCAUGUUUGCUUCUUUGUCUGUUAAGAGCCCAGGGUUUUUAUGAUCUCGUUCCUGUUUUAUUUUGAAAUUUUACCCUCAUGUGUCUCAUCUUGCUUGUUGGCUCCUUCUGUGAGUUUUUCCCUCCCGAUGUUUUUCCGUUCCUUCAUUUACCUGGCUGUUUCCCUCCACUCUCCACCUGUUCCUCAUCCCUCAUUAGGUUUGUCGGUGCUUUGUUCUCCGUCUUGUUUUUGUCAGUGCGUUAUGUCUGUCUUCAUGUCACUGCAUCUUGGUCCAUCAUCCUCUGUCUUUGUCUUCCUCGGCACGUGUUGUUCAUGUUGCUCGGCCUUCGUUUCGUGUUCUGCCGUCAUCACGGCAUCAUCAUGUGUCUACCUGUUCGCUACUCUGACACACUGAUUUGCACUUUGCUUUAGUUUUGCACUUUGUGUAGCUCUUAGUUGCUACUUUUCUCUGUUGUCCCUAGUGACUCAUUGUUUGGUUUCCUUGGUCUCUUGUUUUUGUAGUUCAGCUUGGUUAAUAGAGCUUGCUUUUUGUUCCCCUA
Acanthopagrus latus (yellowfin seabream) is the source of this 1149-nucleotide long non-coding RNA. RefSeq lists it as uncharacterized. The transcript is spliced from 3 exons. The record is from RefSeq and is a predicted model, not a curated record. NCBI's taxonomy places the organism in Eukaryota, Metazoa, Chordata, Actinopteri, Spariformes, Sparidae.